AGGUUGGCUUAGAAGCAGCCAUCCUUUAAAGAAAGCGUAACAGCUCACUGGUCUAGUGAUUCUGCGCGGAAAAUAUAACGGGGCUAAGAUGUACACCGAAGCUUUAGAUUCAAUUUUUAAUUGAGUGGUAGGAGAGCGUUCUAUUCAGCGUUGAAGGUAUACCGGUAAGGAGUGCUGGAGCGGACAGAAGUGAGAAUGCAGGCAUGAGUAGCGAUAAUUAAGGUGAGAAUCCUUAACGCCGAAAACCCAAGGUUUCCUACGCGAUGCUCGUCAUCGUAGGGUUAGUCGGGUCCUAAGUCGAGACUGAAAAGUGUAGACGAUGGCAAAUUGGUUAAUAUUCCAAUACCAACAUAUAAGCGCGAUGUGGGGACGCAUAGAGUUAAUCGAGGUCACUGAUGGAAUAGUGGCUCGAAGGACGUAGGCUGUUAAGUAGGCAAAUCCGCUUAACGUUAGACCGAGAUCUUACAGGCUCUUGACACUCUUCGGAGGAGAUGGAGAAUCGAUGAUACUGUCGUGCCAAGAAAAGCCACUAAGUUUAUUAUAUGUUGCCCGUACCGUAAACCGACACAGGUGGGUGGGAUGAGUAUUCUAAGGCGCGUGGAAGAACCCUCUUUAAGGAACUCUGCAAAAUAGCACCGUAUCUUCGGUAUAAGGUGUGCCUACUUUGGUAUAGAAACUUGCUUUCAAAAGCUGAAGAGGUUGCAACAAAGAGUCCCUCCCGACUGUUUACCAAAAACACAGCACUUUGCUAACACGUAAGUGGAUGUAUAAGGUGUGACGCCUGCCCGGUGCUCGAAGGUUAAUUGAUGAUGUCAGCGCAAGCGAAGCAUUUGAUCGAAGCCCGAGUAAACGGCGGCCGUAACUAUAACGGUCCUAAGGUAGCGAAAUUCCUUGUCAGUUAAAUACUGACCUGCAUGAAUGGCGUAACGAGAUGGGAGCUGUCUCAAAGAGGGAUCCAGUGAAAUUGUAGUGGAGGUGAAAAUUCCUCCUACCCGCGGAAAGACGGAAAGACCCCGUGCACCUUUACUACAGCUUGACACUGUAGCUUGGAUAUUCAUGUGCAGGAUAGGUGGGAGGCUAUGAUGACUAGACGCAAGUAGAGUCGGAGCCAUCCUUGAGAUACCACCCUUGAAUAUUUGAGUUACUAACUGCGUACAAUUAUCUUGUAUCAGGACAAUGUCUGGUGGGUAGUUUGACUGGGGCGGUCGCCUCCUAAAAAGUAACGGAGGCUUACAAAGGUUAGUUCAAAGCGGAUGGAAAUCGCUUGUUGAGUAUAAUGGCAUAAACUAGCUUGACUGUGAGACCUACAAGUCGAACAGAGACGAAAGUCGGUCAUAGUGAUCCGGUGGUUCUGCGUGGAAGGGCCAUCGCUCAAAGGAUAAAAGGUACGCCGGGGAUAACAGGCUGAUC
RNAcentral lists this ribosomal RNA (1410 nucleotides) under activated sludge metagenome. RNAcentral describes it as "bacterial LSU rRNA". It matches the Rfam family "Bacterial large subunit ribosomal RNA", at positions 1098 to 2487 of the family's 2925-position model. The record is from RNAcentral.